Molecule: ribosomal RNA, 818 nt
Filed under: Staphylococcus sp.
Lineage: Bacteria; Bacillati; Bacillota; Bacilli; Caryophanales; Staphylococcaceae
Description: bacterial SSU rRNA
Rfam family: Bacterial small subunit ribosomal RNA
Source: RNAcentral
GACUGGGAUAACUUCGGGAAACCGGAGCUAAUACCGGAUAAUAUUUCGAACCGCAUGGUUCGAUAGUGAAAGAUGGCUUUGCUAUCACUUAUAGAUGGACCUGCGCCGUAUUAGCUAGUUGGUAAGGUAACGGCUUACCAAGGCAACGAUACGUAGCCGACCUGAGAGGGUGAUCGGCCACACUGGAACUGAGACACGGUCCAGACUCCUACGGGAGGCAGCAGUAGGGAAUCUUCCGCAAUGGGCGAAAGCCUGACGGAGCAACGCCGCGUGAGUGAUGAAGGUCUUCGGAUCGUAAAACUCUGUUAUUAGGGAAGAACAAACGUGUAAGUAACUGUGCACGUCUUGACGGUACCUAAUCAGAAAGCCACGGCUAACUACGUGCCAGCAGCCGCGGUAAUACGUAGGUGGCAAGCGUUAUCCGGAAUUAUUGGGCGUAAAGCGCGCGUAGGCGGUUUUUUAAGUCUGAUGUGAAAGCCCACGGCUCAACCGUGGAGGGUCAUUGGAAACUGGAAAACUUGAGUGCAGAAGAGGAAAGUGGAAUUCCAUGUGUAGCGGUGAAAUGCGCAGAGAUAUGGAGGAACACCAGUGGCGAAGGCGACUUUCUGGUCUGUAACUGACGCUGAUGUGCGAAAGCGUGGGGAUCAAACAGGAUUAGAUACCCUGGUAGUCCACGCCGUAAACGAUGAGUGCUAAGUGUUAGGGGGGUUUCCGCCCCCUUAGUGCUGCAGCUAACGCAUUAAGCACUCCGCCCGGGGGAGUACGACCGCAAGGUUGAAAACUCAAAGGGAAUUGACGGGGGACCCGCACAAGCGGGG